RNAcentral lists this ribosomal RNA (288 nucleotides) under uncultured bacterium. Its description in RNAcentral is "partial 16S ribosomal RNA". It matches the Rfam family "Bacterial small subunit ribosomal RNA", at positions 773 to 1060 of the family's 1533-position model. The record is from RNAcentral.
GUGGAUUAGAUACCCUGGUAGUCCAUGCCGUAAACGAUGUCAACUAGGUGUUGGGGAACUUGAUUCCUUAGUGCCGCAGCUAACGCAUUAAGUUGACCGCCUGGGGAGUACGACCGCAAGGUUAAAACUCAAAUGAAUUGACGGGGGCCCGCACAAGCGGUGGAGCAUGUGGUUUAAUUCGAUGCAACGCGAAGAACCUUACCUACUCUUGACAUCCAGAGAAUCCUGUAGAGAUACGGGAGUGCCUUCGGGAAUUCUGAGACAGGUGCUGCACGGUCGUCGCCAGCU